This 2569-nucleotide long non-coding RNA is filed under the name Mus musculus (house mouse). RNAcentral describes it as "long non-coding RNA chr18:4930517-4933086". Lineage: Eukaryota; Metazoa; Chordata; Mammalia; Rodentia; Muridae. The record is from RNAcentral.
ACUAAGGACUUACAUUCCUUGGUAAGAGAUCUGAGCACAAGAGCUCAAAAACAAGUUCAGAGGGAGCAUCCUUCAGGCACUGCUAGGCACUUGCCAUUCCGCUUCAAAACACAAAGUUGAUAGGAGACUUUUAAGUUGAACUCACUUUUUUUCUCUCUCUCUCCUCUUUCUCUGUUUCUCUCUGUCUCUCCCCUCCUCUCUUACACACACACACACACACACACACACACACACACACAUGCUUCAUAUUGGAUCUAGAAUUAUUGAAUUUUUUAUUUUUUAUGUUUUUGAAAAUCCGUCAUCACAGUACAUUUGUGAUAUUGAGUUUCCAGGAAAAAGAAAAACAUAUUAUCAGCUUGACAAGAAAAUUGCAUGGCUGUAAAUGUUUUGGUUGAUUAUUUAUGUAAACCUAACAUCUCUGUGUUAAAAAACUGGCAGAACCUCCUAUGUAUUUAUUUAUUUUUACCUAAAAGCUCUCAUCGCAUGGCACUUUUCCUGUUCUUUGUUCCUAGACUGCUGGAGGAAGCAUGCUAUUUUCUUCCUUGUGAAAAUUGGUUCCGUCUUAAGUAUGUCUCUAAAAACAAUUUCCCAUCUAGCAGUGGUAUAAAUGAGAGAUCUUCCCACAGGCUCAUGAAUCCAAUCCUUUGGUUUAGGAGGCGUAGCCUUGCUGGAGGAAGUCCAUCAUGGAGAUGGGGCUGGGGAAGGGGUGCUUUUGUUCAUUGCCUUGUGCCACUUCAGGUCAGCUCUUGGCUUUUCUGUUUUUACAGUUGAAGAUGGCUGACUCAUAUCCCUCUGGAGCCAUGAGUCAAAGUAAACUCUUUCUUCUGUAAGUCUUGUUUGGUUAUGAUAUUUUAUCACAGCAACAGAAGAGUAACUACCCCCACCCCCCACCCCAACACAUACACCUUAAAAAGUUCUGCAAGCUCACUGAACUUCCUGUGGAAAACUUACUUUGACUUUUGAGCACAGACACUAGUCUCAGGCCAGAUAGCAACACUUCCAGAUUUUGCUUGCUCCAGACCUAUAGGCUCCAACACAGUUUCUUCUCCACUUUCUACUUGGCUAGACCAGCGGAUCUCAAUCAGUGGGUCUCCAUCCCUUUGUAGGAUAUCAGAUAUCCUACAUAUAACAUAUUUACAUUAUGAUUCAUAACAGUAGCAAAAUUAUAGUUAUGAACUAGGAACAAAAUAAUAUUGUGGUUGGGGUCAGCACCUCAUGAGGCACUGUAUUAAACGUCACAGCAUUAGGAAGGCUGAGAACCACUGAGCUAGCUGAAGAUUUGAUUAAGAGUAGUGCUCUAUUUACAAAAUCUUGACACAAUCUCUCUUCCCUUCUUAAAAAUUUAUUUUUGCAGUUCAUUUUGUUGUUGUUGUUGUUGUGUGAAUGGGUGAGGAGGUUGCACAGGUGUCCCAGAGCCCAUGUAGAUGUCAGAGGACAGCUUGUGGGAAUUGGUUCACACCUUUCACCAUGUGAGUCCCAGGGAUUGAACUCAACUUGUCAGGCCUGUAGACAACUGUCUACCCACUGAGUCAUCCUAUUGGCUCUCCUACCAAGAUUUUUAUCCUCUUUGGUUGCCAUAUUCACACAGAUUGCUUAUAGUUUGUCCACAGUGGUUGCUCUGUUUCAUCUUUUCAGAAUGGUCUUCCCAUUGUUCUAGAUACUAGGGAACAAAUGAGCAAAUUGAUGAGAUGUGGCAGCAGGCACCAUCACCUCAUUUCAGUUAGGUCUGGUGAGGCAGCUACCAUCACCAAGUAUAUGUGUGUGCAUGUGUCUGCAAACUCAGUGUUUUAUAAAAUUUUGGCAUAGGUAAAAGGCUCAAGACAACUUGGCAGACGAUCAGGUUUUGUAUGUAGAGACUUUGUUCUCCUUCUUCUCUUUUGAAACAAACAAACUUAAAUCUGAGAUACUUUUUGAAAUUUAUGUCUAGUGACCGAACAGUUUUUGUUCUAUGUGCAAGAAACUCUGCUGGCAUUUCUUCAUGAUCCCCUUGUGAUAUAUUUAGUGGUUGUGUGUUCUGAAUGGUAACUGUCCCCCAUUCUCUCUAGCAUUUGAAAAGUUGGUCUCCAGUUGGUGGCACUGUUUGGUGAGGUUCAUAGGUGUGGUCUUGAAGGUUGGUCACUGGAGGUCGACUUUGUGCCAUUUCUAAAGUGCUCUCUCUACUUCUCGUUUGUGGUUUGAGAUGUGACCCCUGUGCUCUCAGCUUCCAGCUCCGUCUACCAUGUCUGCUCCACUUGGCUCUUGUGGACACUAAUCCCCUGUGUGGUGGUUGGAAUAUGCUUGGCCCAGGGAUUAGCACUAUUAGGAGCCUUGCUAGAGUAGGUGUGGCCAUGUUAGAGGAAGUGUGUCACUGUGGGGGUGGGCUUUGAGACCCUCCUCUUAGUCAUGUGGAAUCCAGUCUCCUCCUGUUUGCCUUCAGAUGAAGAUGCUGCCAUGGUGAUAAUGGAUUGAACCUCUGAACCUAUAAGCCAGCCCCAAUUAAACAUUGUCCUUUAUAAGUGUUGCCUUGGCCAUAGUGUCUCUCUUCACAGCAAUGAAACCCAAAGUAAGAUACCCUGGAACCAUAAGUAUC